This 253-nucleotide ribosomal RNA is filed under the name uncultured bacterium. Its description in RNAcentral is "partial 16S ribosomal RNA". It matches the Rfam family "Bacterial small subunit ribosomal RNA", at positions 524 to 776 of the family's 1533-position model. The record is from RNAcentral.
UACGUAGGGUGCGAGCGUUAAUCGGAAUUACUGGGCGUAAAGCGUGCGCAGGCGGUUCUGUAAGCCAGAUGUGAAAUCCCCGGGCUUAACCUGGGAAUGGCAUUUGGGACCGCAAGGCUGGAGUGUGGCAGAGGGAGGUGGAAUUCCACGUGUAGCAGUGAAAUGCGUAGAGAUGUGGAGGAACACCGAUGGCGAAGGCAGCCUCCUGGGCCAGCACUGACGCUCAUGCACGAAAGCGUGGGGAGCAAACAGG